This 4143-nucleotide long non-coding RNA is filed under the name Homo sapiens (human). RNAcentral describes it as "HSALNT0169580". Lineage: Eukaryota; Metazoa; Chordata; Mammalia; Primates; Hominidae. The record is from RNAcentral.
GGAAACCUUAGACAGCCAGAGCUGAGGGAGGGAUUGUUUAGAAGAGGAAGGGGUGGGUGCUACAAGCUCCCAGCCAUCCACUUACUGGGAGUCCACCAUGCACCAGGCCUGCAAUGAAGGGGAGAGGUGUGGUCCCUGCCUCCAGGGGAGACAGUCACAAAACCCCUGAUAUAGGACAAAUGCUUACCCCAAGGUGAAUGUAUUAGCAGAGGGGGCUUUGGGGAGGUGACUCGGUGAUGAAGGCAGAGCCCUCAUGGAUGGAUGAACAUCCUUCCAGGAAGAAACACGAGGGGGCUUGCUUCCUCCCCUGCUCUCCGCCAUGCAAGGACGCAGGAAGAAGGUGUUGUCCAUGAACCAGAAAUCAGGCCUUCCACACACACGGGAUCUACCAGCACCUUAAUCUUGGACUUGCGGCCUCUGGAACUGUGAGGACUAAAUGCCUGUUGUUUAAGCCUCCCAGUCUCUGGUAUUUUGGUUAUAGCAGCCUGAACUGACAGGAGUGAAAAUCAGAUGUGGCGGGCUGGAGAUAAAAGGGGAAAGUAGGAAGUACAGGUGGCAAGAGUAGCCCAUUCCUUCAAAAAGCUCUCCUGUGAGCAGGAGGCAAAGGGGGCACCCAGGACGGACAGAAGGUCACUGACAAGGAGGAAGCAUGACUGUGUGCGAAGGAGGAGCAGCCAGCGAGGGGAGGAACAGUCUGUGCAGAAGUGCAGGGACGCCAAGAGCGGGCUGCUUGAGAUGUUUGGUGAAAUGAGGCAACGUGCCUGUGAUUUUGUUUUCCACCCCAGUUGCCGGGGCAUGCUCUGAGGCUUGCAAUUUCCGUGGGCACAGCCAGGUGAGUUUGGGUGGCGUCGUCUGAUCCCCACUCUUGACCCCUUGGCCCCUGCAGCUCUCCGAGCAGAGAAGUUGUUCUUCUGUCACUGCUUGCACAUUGGUGAGCAAAAAGAUGGAAAAGCCAGUGUGAUUUCCAACUAAUCUUGACUAAGUCAGAUAUAGGGGGUUUUUUCCCCACCUCUGGGAAGAUUGUCAAGUGAAACAAUGUGGCUUUGAGCUUCUGACAGAUGCUAAUGAAUUGUUGUUUACAUUUUUGAUUUACUGCCUAAACAAAGAUAAGACAUGCUCUUGAAAACACAUUGAAUGCACAAUCCAAACACAUCCAUUAAAUCUGUCACAAUAAACAUGACAGCUUUCUUCUAACCUAACAACUGGCAUGCCUCAUUUGCAUAUUAAUGAGAAAACCGGGAUCAGCCGCGCAAAUUACUUAUAUCUCAUGAAGGGGCUGCUCCUGAUGACAGCGAGACACUUGGGGGUGUAAAUACACCACGUUAAUACCUUUGCUGUUUUGGUGCCUUUUCCCUCUCUGUGCUUGGGCUCUGUGCGCCAGGUUGGAUAUUUCCGUUAAGCUGUGUGGGGGCAGGGGCCCCUGACGGGAGUCAUCAUGGGCCCAGAAAGAGCUGGAUUGGCCUCAAAUCCUGCCAACACUCCAAGAACACUUAGUGAGCACCUACUACGGCCUGGUCAACAGUUUCCAAUUGCAGUUGAACUUGAUCAUGAAUUGCAUUCAAAUGAACCAAGAGAAAAAUAUGAGAAUUUACUGGUACCAACCAGGUGUGACUUUUCACAUGCAUCAUCACAUUUAAACCUCACAGGAAGCCUUAGAACAGGGUGCACAAAAGUAAAAGUGCAAGGACCCCGACUCCCAUUCCUCACCCACGGCAGACAUAGCUAGUCAAUGCCAGAACUCCUUCCAGCUGAGCCUGGAAUCAAACUCGCAAUGCUCAAGGCAAGACUUCAAGAGGCUGCCACCAUCCAAAGGAUCCACACAGGUGAUGAAGCCCCAUUGGUGUCCUGCCUUAGGACAGGUAUGAUUGUUGACAUUACAGAAAUGAGAAAAAGACCCAUUUGGAAAAGUUAGGGGACCUACCAGGUCACCAGGCAAGGAAGAGGCAAAGUCGAGAUUCCACCCUGGGUCUUCCAGCCACCAGCCCAGUUCCCUCCUCACUUCUGCCGCUUCCUAGAGCACCUCACGGCUCCACUCUUUACACAGCUUCACCUGGGCCUAUGUGUCUAGGUAGGAAUUAAGUUGAUUAUGAUUGAAGGUAUCAGCAACAAGAUAACUCAAAUUGAAGGGGCCAGAGAACAUAAUGCUUCCAGGAAGAAGUGGUCCAGGCCCCAACACCACAGUGAUGUCUUCAGAGUCACGAACGCUGAAAGUCUGCAGGAUAUCCCAUCCUCAGACACGCUUGGGUCUGCACCCCACUCUGGCUGCCUGGGGCAAUUCCCUUCAUUUCCCUGAGUCUCAUUUAUAAAAAGGAAAUGAUAGCUCUCACUUUCUACCACCAUCAUGAGCAUAAAAGGGAUUUUGCUCUAAAGAACUUAGCACAAAGCCUGCUCAAUAAAUGGUGGUUUAAAAAUGCCAAACCCUCACCACCAGAGGUUUUGCUAAAUCUUUUACUCCAGCUGGCUCCACCCAGCUGCUUCUUCCUUGCUAUACGCCAGACUCAAGAGUGCGGCAGUUACUCUCAGAAAGUGCCAUGCCAUCUGAGGGAGACUCACACCUAAAGAGAAGCUCUCCUUUCCCCUUCUUCCCUCUGCUCCUCCAGCAUCUUCUUCAGGAAGGGCCUGUCCCUGAGCUGGAACUGCCAAGUCAGGGUGGUGCAGGCCCUGCCCACAAUCCAAAAUCCCCAGGUCAGGCAACUCAGCCCUGGCUUAUUCUUUUAGAGCUCCCAUCCUCAUUCCACAUUGCAGCACCCACAUCCCAGGCUUUGGCCCCUGGCCAUUGAAAGGCCCGCUGGGUGUCCAAGGUGGUGUUCACAGAGGCCAGGUGCUCAGAAUCUGCUGACAAGAAGACCUCAAGUGUACAAGGUGGAGAGAGCCAAAGGCACUCUAUAAAAAGGAAUUCUCAGGGAUGCUGCCACUGGGCAUUUUUAUUACAGAUUAAUCUAUCCACAUUACUUCACAAGAGAAAAAAGGUCCUAUUCCUAUUGAAUUAGAUGCACAUGGAAAUAUUUCCAAUGCUGCAACUCUUUCCCCUACUGAUUUCCUUUUCCUUUUCUUUUUUCUUUUUUUUUUAUUUUUUUAUUUUUUUUCAUUUUCUUUUUAGAGACAGGGUCUUGCUUUGUUGCCCAGGCUGGAGUGCAGUGGCACAGUCAUGGCUCACUGCAACCUCAAACCCACCUAAGCCUCCCAAAGUGUUAGGAUUACAGGCGUGAGCCACCACACCUGGCCUGAUUUUCUUUAACUACCACGUCUUGAUAUCUUUAAAAAAAAAAAACAAAAAAAAAAACAAAACGGAGUCUCGCUGUGUCUCCCAGGCUGGAGUGCAGUGGCAUGAUCUCGGCUCUCUGCAACCUCUGCCUCCUGGGUUCCAAUGAUUCUCCUGCCUCAGCCUCCUGAGUAGUUGGGAUUACAGGUGUGCACCACCACACCCAGCUAAUUUUUGUAUUUUUAGGAGAGACAGGGUUUUGCCAUGUUGGCCAGGCUGGGCUCGAUCUCCUGACUUCAAGUGAUCCACCCGCCUAGGUCUCCCCAAAGUGCCGGGAUUACAGGCAUGAGCCACUGGGCCUGGCCCAAGAUCUUUGUGUUAGGCUCAUGCUAGAUGUUACAUGUUGUGGGAAGCUCCUAAGAUGACCCCCAGUGAAAGCCCCUCUCCUGGUUUUCACCCCCUUGAUACCUGUCCCUUGAGUGUGGGCUGGACUUGACAGCUCACUUCUAACAAACAGGAUAUGACAGGGGUGAUGAAUGUCACUUCCGAGAUUAGGUUAUAAAAAGACUAUGGCCUCUGUCUUGGGCUCUCUCUCUCUCUACUCACUCUAGGGGAAGCCAGCUGUCAUGUCAUGAGGCACCCGGAGCCUCUGCAUAGCAGGGAGCUGGAGGCAGACUCAGCCCAAAGCCAGUAGGAGUUGGAGGGCCUCAUUCUACCAGCUUACAGGGGACUGAAGGCUAGCUACAAUUAUGUGUGUGAGCUCACAUUGCAGUCAGGCUGGGGAUUCCGUCUUGGCCAAGUCUUCAGACGAAACUGUAACCCAGGCCACAGCUUGACUGCAGUGUUGUUGGUGACCUUGAGGCAGAGGCACCAGCUCAGCUGCACCUGGAUUCCUGACUCAGAAACUAUGAGAUAAUAAAUGUUUAUUGUUUUCAGCUGCU